GUGCUCACUUCGACGGCACAUACAGUAAAAUUGGAAUGGUACAGAGAAGGUUAGCAUGGCCCCUGCACAAGGAUGGCAUACAGAUCCCUAAAGCACCCCCACCACUCUUU
Molecule: small nuclear RNA, 110 nt
Organism: Rattus norvegicus (Norway rat)
Lineage: Eukaryota; Metazoa; Chordata; Mammalia; Rodentia; Muridae
Source: Ensembl